ACUGUUCCUGAAAUAGGCACAUUACCUGUAUGCUGCUGUUGAAAUUAUGUCAACAUCCAUAUCUCCAAGUUCACUAACUUUCCAUUCUAAAUAUGCAUAUGCUUCUCACUACUUGUCCAAGCUUUCAAAGCACUAGAUUAGAUUAGAUUAGAUUAGUAGAAAGGGAGGGGCCUAUGCAGCCCAAGCACUGCGACCAACACAGGUCUAUUGUGCACAAAGCACUAGAUCUUAUCUUCAAUUCGUAGCCCAAUAUGGUAGUUAAGGUGGAGUGUGGGAUUUUGAGAUGCAUUGCAAAACUCACUUUAGAUUCACUAGGACAUCUAUGCACCUCUUCAAUUAUUUGUAUUAUCUUUUUAAUGGAAAAACAUCUCCUUUUAUUUUGUGAUGCAUUCAUCAUUUUAGCAUUCACAAAGAACAAACUCUUCUACAGUACAGUAGUGUAUUGUAUUGUUCAUCCUUUGCAAAAACACUUCUACUUUCACCCACUGUAAUGUCCAAAUUGUAACUUACACUACAGUAUCUGUUUGCGAAAAAUAGAUCGGAAGAGCG
This 549-nucleotide long non-coding RNA is filed under the name Androctonus crassicauda. The record is from RNAcentral. Lineage: Eukaryota; Metazoa; Arthropoda; Arachnida; Scorpiones; Buthidae.